This 1126-nucleotide long non-coding RNA is filed under the name Monodelphis domestica (gray short-tailed opossum). Its description in RNAcentral is "lncRNA (ENSMODG00000038763.1)". Lineage: Eukaryota; Metazoa; Chordata; Mammalia; Didelphimorphia; Didelphidae. The record is from RNAcentral.
UGAACCUAUGGCAUGAAUGCCAGAAUAUGCUUAUGACUCCACAUCAGUCACUCUAACCUCUACCUCACCUUAGCUGCCUCAGAGGAAGGCUUCCAGUAUCCUGGGCAUAUAUGUGUGUUGGUGGUUGUCCAUUGUACUUAAGUAAAGAAGACCAAAAUGACAUCACGAUGUUGGUAGGAUCAAGGUACAGUGUGUUCAACUGUGGCUGAUCAGAGCAAUACAAGCUCCGAGGCUGUAGCCCAGCUUGGGCACAAAUCGCCGCAUGAACCCUGGAGCUGGAGAUGUUUCUAAAUUUGCUCAUCUCACAUUCUCUUGGAGCUACUGCAGUUCUGUUUUGCUCACAGAGCACAACCCCUCCUUCCUUCUUUGAUGCUGGACAGUCCUGGGCCAGAUAUGCAUGUACUGUACGUAGGGCUUAGGGAAAGGUGCCAGGACAAGAAUCUCAAGAGAUGUGAGGAGUGAAUGGGGCAGCUGACAGCAUCUGUCACUGCCUGGAGUGAAGGCAGGGUUGGAAUGAUUCUUCUGAACCAAGCGAUCCAGGGAAAAAAAUAAAUCCAUGUUUCACUGAUUCCCCCUUAGGGUCUUGGUUCAGAUUCUACUUCCAGGAUUCUUGCAAGAGUGAACUGCUUCUCCAGGAGAGAACAGAUGAUGAGCAUCAAAGAAGCAGAAAGAUGGGAGGAGGCUUCUCUUCUCCAGUCAUUGGGAGAGGAUAGAAAAGAUCAGAAUCUGGAGAUUAAUAUCUCUAGAGUAAAUAAAGAAGAGAGAGGUCGAAAGCUUCAUCAGAAUCCAGAUCAACGUCCACAAGUAUCUGGUGGUCGCCAUCCUCAGCAUCCAAGUGGCCACUGUCCCCAGGCACCUGGUCAUCAUCUCCAGGUACCUGGUCACCGUCCCCCUGUUCCUUGUCAUCGUCCGCAGCAGCAGCAACAGAAGCAGAAAAGGCCUUCUCCGAAAGUCCCGCAGCAAACUGGCCCUCCUUUGCCUAGACCUAGAAAUCAGCCAAAGCCUCCUCACCAAGAAAAGGGGAAAUGAUAAUUAUUUCUCCUGAGGAAGUUUCCUCUUUGGUCCAUCUGUGAAUAUUUGUAAAAAGAUUGUUCCAAAUAAACAAUACUGCAGUUUUCCCUCUUCA